This 353-nucleotide small RNA is filed under the name Acidimicrobiales. RNAcentral describes it as "JAKABX01 sp021798985 Standard tmRNA". It matches the Rfam family "transfer-messenger RNA". From Rfam's summary of the family: Bacterial tmRNA, also known as 10Sa RNA or SsrA, is named for its dual tRNA and mRNA-like properties. The record is from RNAcentral. Lineage: Bacteria; Bacillati; Actinomycetota; Acidimicrobiia. RNAcentral also lists the same sequence under 1 other name.
GGGGGUGAUUGGCUUCGACUUCGGUCGUCAAGGUGGGAGAAGCGAGCCGUGGUCUCCGGAGCCACGCUAAAGAGCCGGAACCAAAAACAAACGCCGAGCCUCAGCUCGCGCUCGCUGCCUGAUUAGGUAGCGAUGUCUGCCCGGUCCCAGCCCCGCGGAUCGGAUCGCAGGCAUCAUCUUGUGGGGCUUACUCCUGUGGCUUGUCAGCGUCUGCUGGAGGAAAUCUCAGCUGACUGGGGUCCCGUGCCGGUGCCGGUGGCGAGGCGGGACCCGAGAUCUCACCGCCGGCUGCGCUCGGAGAAGGCCUACUGCGAAGCUGAAGGACGCGGGUUCGAUUCCCGCCACCUCCACGA